Molecule: long non-coding RNA, 608 nt
Organism: Aegilops tauschii subsp. strangulata
Lineage: Eukaryota; Viridiplantae; Streptophyta; Magnoliopsida; Poales; Poaceae
Source: RefSeq, a predicted model, not a curated record
GAUACUCAUACCCUCUGCCAAAAAAUGUAUGUGCAGGUGAUGUUCAUGCUACGCGUGCACAAUUGAUUUGGGUGGAUUCUGUAGCUUCCUACUGUCCAUUCAGUGAUCAGCCGUUCAUCAUCUCUCAAAUGGCUUUUGGACAGGUGAAUGCAUGUACUAAUAAACGAGCAAAGUCUAUGUUUGUCUGCUUAAUCCACGGCUCCAUGAAGGUACAGACAGGUGGGACCGCCCCGCCUACCCUGGCCUGGCACGCACCCAUCGCCUCGCAUCGUUCGUGUAUUCUUCAAAGUUUGCCAUGUUCCCCCAGGUUUGAAAGUGUGUUGAUACCCAGGUUCUACCCCUUCUUCAUCCGGCAGUGACGCAGUAACAUCCAGGAGCUAUGCUUCUCCAAUAGUUCGCCCCAUCAUCUUCAACUUUGCUGCAUAUUUCCCUUCCCACUACAGUCCCAUCGUACCCAAUAUGUGUGCUCUAAUAGGGUUCCUGCUGAUGCUGAUUUUUGCUCUUAAUUUGCUACAGUUAUUGACACCCAAGUGCUCGGGACUGGUUCUAGCUUGUUUACCAAAUUUCUCUGGGUGUUUCUGUGUUUAUUUUUGUUCAUGAAUUAUGAA